CCCCUCGCAAAGCCCCGCGUGAUCGCCUAUGUUCGGGAUGCCGCUUGCGGCUAUGGCGAUAAACGUUGCGUGGAAUAAGCGUUGCGGACCCGGGGGCAGUGCCCGGCGCCUCCACCAGUUCACCCGUCCCUUUGUCGGGGGACGGCGGAUGGGGGCGAAACAGUCUCGACGUGCGCGGUAAAGACGCUGCUUUUGCCCGGCAUGGUACCGCCGUCAUCGGACCAAAUCACAAGUGCCAACGAUAACAGCCGCGAGGCUGUGGCGCUCGCUGCCUAAAUAGGUAAGCGCGGUUCGGGGGGCACCGGGCAACAGAAGCCCCCCACU
RNAcentral lists this transfer-messenger RNA (324 nucleotides) under Plastoroseomonas hellenica. It matches the Rfam family "Alphaproteobacteria transfer-messenger RNA". From Rfam's summary of the family: Bacterial tmRNA, also known as 10Sa RNA or SsrA, is named for its dual tRNA and mRNA-like properties. Its role is to liberate the mRNA from a stalled ribosome. Lineage: Bacteria; Pseudomonadati; Pseudomonadota; Alphaproteobacteria; Acetobacterales; Acetobacteraceae. The record is from RNAcentral.